Molecule: ribosomal RNA, 498 nt
Filed under: uncultured bacterium
Lineage: Bacteria
Description: partial 16S ribosomal RNA
Rfam family: Bacterial small subunit ribosomal RNA
Source: RNAcentral
AUUGAACGCUGGCGGCAUGCCUUACACAUGCAAGUCGAACGGUAACAGGUCUUCGGAUGCUGACGAGUGGCGAACGGGUGAGUAAUACAUCGGAACGUGCCUAGUAGUGGGGGAUAACUACUCGAAAGAGUGGCUAAUACCGCAUGAGAUCUACGGAUGAAAGCAGGGGAUCGCAAGACCUUGUGCUACUAGAGCGGCCGAUGGCAGUUUAGGUAGUUGGUGGGAUAAAAGCUUACCAAGCCGACGAUCUGUAGCCGGUCUGAGAGAACGAUCAGCCACCCGGGGACUGAGAAACGGCCCAGACUCCUACGGGAGGCAGCAGUGGGGAAUUUUGGACAAUGGGCGAAAGCCUGAUCCAGCAAUGACGCGUGCAGGAUGAAGGCCUUCGGGUUGUAAACUGCUUUUGUACGGAACGAAAAGCCCCGGGUUAAUACCCUGGGGUCAUGACGGUACCGUAAGAAUAAGCACCGGCUAACUACGUGCCAGCCGCCGCCGUAA